Molecule: ribosomal RNA, 429 nt
Filed under: Pseudomonadota bacterium
Lineage: Bacteria; Pseudomonadati; Pseudomonadota
Description: Proteobacteria bacterium partial 16S ribosomal RNA
Rfam family: Bacterial small subunit ribosomal RNA
Source: RNAcentral
UGGGGAAUAUUGGACAAUGGGCGAAAGCCUGAUCCAGCCAUGCCGCGUGUGUGAAGAAGGUCUUCGGAUUGUAAAGCACUUUAAGUUGGGAGGAAGGGCAGUAAGCGAAUACCUUGCUGUUUUGACGUUACCGACAGAAUAAGCACCGGCUAACUCUGUGCCAGCAGCCGCGGUAAUACAGAGGGUGCAAGCGUUAAUCGGAAUUACUGGGCGUAAAGCGCGCGUAGGUGGUUCGUUAAGUUGAAUGUGAAAGCCCCGGGCUCAACCUGGGAACUGCAUCCAAAACUGGCGAGCUAGAGUAGGGCAGAGGGUGGUGGAAUUUCCUGUGUUGCGGUGAAAUGCGUAGAUAUAGGAAGGAACACCAGUGGCGAAGGCGACCACCUGGGCUCAUACUGACACUGAGGUGCGAAAGCGUGGGGAGCAAACAGG